This is a non-coding RNA of Xyrichtys novacula (pearly razorfish), 359 nucleotides long. The record is from the annotation of a GenBank genome assembly. NCBI's taxonomy places the organism in Eukaryota, Metazoa, Chordata, Actinopteri, Labriformes, Labridae.
CUGGGAGUGGAGACAGAAAGGCACAGGUAAGUGUUCACAAUAUUCACGUCAAACUGAUUUUAAACUGCACUACUUCCACCUUUUACUCAAGCACACAAAUAUGCUGAAACCCUCAUCCACAUCGUGUGCACUGUGUUACAGGUGGUGCGGCUAAAUUAACCCCCGGCUACCGGACGAGCUACCGGACGUCCCCGGAGAACACCUAUACAAAUACACACAUACACACACACACACACACACACACACCAUUAACCAAAUCAGAAUUAAAGUAUUUUGACUGAAAUACCUCUGUGGCUCAUCAUUUGCUAAUCAUGUGUAGCUUUUAAUUUAACAACCCUAAAUGUUGUGUCUACCUGCAC